This 1300-nucleotide unclassified non-coding RNA is filed under the name Athalia rosae (coleseed sawfly). RNAcentral describes it as "misc RNA ENSAEAG00005000083.1". The record is from RNAcentral. Lineage: Eukaryota; Metazoa; Arthropoda; Insecta; Hymenoptera; Athaliidae.
UUCGCGUUCGCUUGCUUCUGUUCGUUAGCUUCCAUUAAUUGGUUCAAGCUCCCUUCGCCGAUAGGACAAGUAUUCGGGGUUUGACUACGAUUCUGAUCAUAUGCGGGACAGGGAUAUCCUCCGUAGGUCAGAUGUUCGUGUCCGAGGAGUGCAUUACUGUCAUAAAAGAGACUCGGUUGCUCGAUAAAAGCUGCUUGAAGCUCUUGAGGUGUCGGGAUCGGAUGCAGCCACUCCUGACUCAAACGAUGGGAGUAAUCCAAGAACGCCGCGUAGUUCUGCUGGGAAUCAAUCGUUCAAAAGGAGGUCUUCAUCAGGUGCGGAAGACAUCGUAGGAGUUCCAAGGAUACUUUGAGUGGUCGGGGAAAAUGGAAAGACUGGACCAGGAAGAUAGGCUUCUGGGAUCGUCGUCUGGUAAGCAGAAAAUAUUCAAUUGAAAUGGUAUCUUUCGUUUCCUUUGGUUUUCUUCUAUAUAUAAACGUUUAUUUCCUGCAUAUCUCCCAAUAAUAAUUUUUCUAUUGGAAUUUAUCAUCAACAUUAUAUAAUAUAUGUAUAUAUAUAUAUUUAUAUAAUAUGUAGGAGAAGAUUCGACGACACAGUUGUAAUUAAUAUUAUAUGUAUGUAGGUAUAAGUUUCAGUUGAUUGCAGGAUUUUUCCUUAUUCUUUUCCUUUUUCUUUUUCUUUUUUAAGCAAAAACAAAUCCAUCGCUUUAUUCAACAUAUGUUCAUUCCAACGUCCUCAAUAAUUUUAAUUAUUCUCCAAAUUUUUUUUUUUUUUCUUUAAAUUUUUUAAAAUACUUCAAUUAGCUAGUGUUCGAUAGAUUUGUUCUCGCAUAAAAUUAUAAUAUUUCACGCGGCGCGACAUAUGAAUUUAUACCUUUUAAAACGAUAAUAUUCAAUAGAUUCAAUGCGAUAUUAUAAAACAUUCAUUAUUUAGAUGUAUAAUAUUUCGUAGCGCGGAUGCGAAAUAUUUUAAUCGUUUAGAAACAUAACGAUGAUUUAAUAAUAAUAAUAAUAAUUGAUUGGAAGUGCUGUUUUCCUAAUGUUCUUUGGUAUUCUUUUUCUUCAAAUUAGUUUCUAUUCGUUUUUCUCGAUUUUCUCCUUUUUAUUUUUAGUUGUAAUCAUCCUCUCUAUAUCAAUCUGUACUAUUUGAUUCUAUCAUAAAUUACAUAUUUCGGGAAAUAGAUAAAUUGUCAUAUACAUAUUAUAUGCGUUAAUAUGUUUAUGCAUUUACAUCAUCUGUAACCCCGAGUACCACAUAAAUACAAGUAUAGGUAUACGUAAAAUGCGUUAUAAAUCGUUCG